Molecule: ribosomal RNA, 460 nt
Filed under: uncultured bacterium
Lineage: Bacteria
Description: partial 16S ribosomal RNA
Rfam family: Bacterial small subunit ribosomal RNA
Source: RNAcentral
CCUACGUGAGGCGGCAGUGAGGAAUAUUGGUCAAUGGACGAGAGUCUGAACCAGCGACGUAGCGUGAAGGAUGAAUGCCCUAGGGGUGGUAAACUUCUUUUAUAUGGGAAUAAAAUGUUCCACGUGUGGGAUUUUGUAUGUACCAUUUGAAUACGGAUCGGCCAACUACGUGCCAGCAGCCGCGGUAAUACGGAGGGUCCGAGCGUUAUCCGGAUUUAUUGGGUUUAAAGGGAGCGUAGGUGGAUUGUUAAGUCUGUUGUGAAAGUUUGCGGCUCAACCGUAAAAUUGCAGUUGAAACUGGGAGUCUUGAGUACAGUAGAGGUGAGCGGAAUUCGUGGUGUAGCGGUGAAAUGCUUAGAUAUCACGAAGAACUCCGAUUGCGAAGGCAGCUCACUGGACUGCAACUGACACUGAGGCUCGAAAGUGUGGGUAUCAAACAGGAUUAGAUACCCUUGUAGUC